CAAAAGUUUUAGUGUAGUUUUAAGUUUAUUAAAGCUUAAACUGCUCUAAGACCUUUGG
MicroRNA precursor from Monodelphis domestica (gray short-tailed opossum), 58 nucleotides. The record is from Ensembl. Lineage: Eukaryota; Metazoa; Chordata; Mammalia; Didelphimorphia; Didelphidae.